This is a long non-coding RNA of Lepus europaeus (European hare), 1897 nucleotides long. RefSeq lists it as uncharacterized. The transcript has 3 exons. The record is from RefSeq and is a predicted model, not a curated record. NCBI's taxonomy places the organism in Eukaryota, Metazoa, Chordata, Mammalia, Lagomorpha, Leporidae.
GCGGCGCGGGCCGCCUGCGAGGACUUUGCGGGAAGGGUGAAGUGCCUGUGACACCGGGACGCUGCGGACGGAGGGGAAACGCACCGCGGCCCUCUGACCCCGGCUGCUGGCUCCGCCAUUUCCAGACGCCUUGUCCGCUUUUACGAGCCCUGUGUGUCUUUGCAAACGCGUGUCCCUCUGCUUGGAAAGUUGCCCACGCGCCUCCGCGCUCCUGGCGAGCUGCUGGCCGGCCAUCCUUUUAAGGACACCGUCUUUGCCCUGCUGGAGCAGCUGCAGCCCUCGUGGAGCCCUCGUGGCCCGGUUCCCGCGGCGAUGGCCCGUCCAGGCUGCUCCUGGCGCUGGGACGCGGGAGUCCGGCUCUGUCCAGCACUUUCAGGUGGUCUGGUCCCGGUGCCUGGCUGUCAAUGCUCCUAUGUACCGAGCCGCCCCAGUUACUUGCAGCCUGGGUCAGUUGUGUGAACUUGGUUCACGUAAACAACAGCCUCUUCAACCUUAGUUGGACGUCGAGUUGGGAACUGAAACUUGGUGUGUCCAGAGCCAUUUUCGCUAUUUCGCCUCUAAACCUGCUCUUUGGUCCCCACCGGUGACCACUGAGUUCCUGGUAACCUACAGAAAACAUAAAUCCCUCCCCCAUCAAAUGUCUUCAGCAAUAGAAGCUCUCAAAUUUCCACACUGAAGGGGAUAAGGAGUAAUGAUCUGAUUGGAAAGGAGUCCAGGAGGAUUGGGGGCUUGUCCAAAGCUAUGUUUCUAGCAGGGCCGGCACUGUGACGCAGCGGGUUAACGUCCUGGCCUGAAGCGCCAGCAUCCCAUAUGGGUGCUGGUUCGAGACCCGGCUGCUUCACUUCCGAUCCAGCUCUCUGCUAUGGCCUGGGAAAGCAGUAGAAGAUGGCUGAAUUCCUUGGGCCCCUGCACCUGCGUGGGAGACCCAGAAGAAGCUGCUGGCUCCUGGCUUCGGAUUGGCGCAGCUCCGGCCGGCCGUUGUGGCCAUCUGGGGAGUGAACCAGCAGAUGGAAGACCUCUCUCUCCCUCUCUCUGCCUCUCCUUCUCUCUCUGUGUAACUCUGACUUUCAAAUAAAUAAAUCUUUAAAAAAAAGAAUGUCUGCUUUUGAAACAUGCUUUGAAGAGAAUGGAUAAGUCAUAGACUGGAAAAAAUAUUCAUAAAUCACAUAUCUGGGAAGAUAUUAAAAUCUCUUACAAUUGAAAAUAAGAGAAUAAAGAAUUUUGUGAAUGGGUAAAAUAUGAUUUGACACUUCAUCAAAAAAGUCAGAUGGAUGGCACCUAAGGUCAUGAAAGAUGCUCAGUUGUCUGUCUGGUUGUUAGAUAGAUGUACACUGAGCCUACAGUGAGUUCCUACCGCAUGCCUUGAGGAUAUCUAACAAGUGUUGGUGAGAACAGUUAAGAUCUAGGACUCUCACUCACUGCUGGUGCAAAUGUAGAAUGAAACAACCACUUGGACAAAUAGUUUAGUAGUUUUUUAAAAAGUUAAAACACACACCUACCGAACAGCACGGCCUUCUCACUCCUAGGCAUUAAUCCAAAUAAAAGCAUAUGUCUACACAAAGACUUGUAUGUCCAUGUUGAUAGGAGCUUUAUUUGUAAUAGCCAGAAACUGCAACAACCUAAAAGUCCAACAAUGGGUGGAUGGACAACAAAUUGUGGUAUAUUAAUACAAAGGAGUACUAUUCAGCAGUAAAAAUGAAAAGCUGUUGAUAUGCUCAGCAAAAAUUAAGCCUGACCACCCCCAAUCUGGACAAAAAAACCACAUAGUGUGAUCCCAUCUUCAUACAAAUCUUGAAAACCUACAGUGACCAAAAGCAGGUCCAUGAGGGAUUCCAAAUGGGCAAGAGACUUUUGGGAGUGAUGGAUGUAUUCAUUCUCAUGUUGGUGAUUUCAAAAU